GGGCGGGUAGCUCAGUUGGUUAGAGCGCAUGCCUUACACGCAUGAUGUCGCAGGUUCGAGUCCUGCUCCGCCCACCA
Molecule: transfer RNA, 77 nt
Filed under: Acidobacteriota bacterium
Lineage: Bacteria; Pseudomonadati; Acidobacteriota
Also listed under: 1 other name
Description: tRNA-Val
Rfam family: tRNA
About the family: Transfer RNA (tRNA) molecules are approximately 80 nucleotides in length. Their secondary structure includes four short double-helical elements and three loops (D, anti-codon, and T loops). Further hydrogen bonds mediate the characteristic L-shaped molecular structure. tRNAs have two regions of fundamental functional importance: the anti-codon, which is responsible for specific mRNA codon recognition, and the 3' end, to which the tRNAs corresponding amino acid is attached (by aminoacyl-tRNA synthetases). tRNAs cope with the degeneracy of the genetic code in two manners: having more than one tRNA (with a specific anti-codon) for a particular amino acid; and 'wobble' base-pairing, i.e. permitting non-standard base-pairing at the 3rd anti-codon position.
Source: RNAcentral